GACGAACGCUGGCGGCGUGCUUAACACAUGCAAGUCGAGCGGUAAGGCCUUUCGGGGUACACGAGCGGCGAACGGGUGAGUAACACGUGGGUGACCUGCCUUUAGCUUCGGGAUAAGCCUGGGAAACUGGGUCUAAUACCGGAUAUGACCUCAUGUCGCAUGGUGUGGGGUGGAAAGUUUUUCGGCUAGAGAUGGGCCCGCGGCCUAUCAGCUUGUUGGUGGGGUGAUGGCCUACCAAGGCGACGACGGGUAGCCGGCCUGAGAGGGCGACCGGCCACACUGGGACUGAGAUACGGCCCAGACUCCUACGGGAGGCAGCAGUGGGGAAUAUUGCGCAAUGGGCGGAAGCCUGACGCAGCGACGCCGC
This 367-nucleotide ribosomal RNA is filed under the name uncultured bacterium. RNAcentral describes it as "bacterial SSU rRNA". It matches the Rfam family "Bacterial small subunit ribosomal RNA", at positions 28 to 400 of the family's 1533-position model. The record is from RNAcentral.